This 2473-nucleotide long non-coding RNA is filed under the name Setaria italica (foxtail millet). RNAcentral describes it as "long non-coding RNA (SITA_LNC002835)". The record is from RNAcentral. Lineage: Eukaryota; Viridiplantae; Streptophyta; Magnoliopsida; Poales; Poaceae.
UUUUUCCUAGGGGCAACUUAGGUAGAUACUGUACUUCCGAUUGUAUGUAUAGUUUUUCUUGCAAGUUCUUUCUUUCUUCUGUUUUCUUUGUGUAUACGAAUAUAUGCUCAAGAGCUAUAAUAUAACCUUGCAGUUCCAAUCAGCUGCUGAAGCUUGUCAAUUCACCUAUGGUAGAUGCCCACAGCUAAUGUACAUGAUUUUUUAUACCAUAUAAAUCAAUGAAAAAUUUAACUGUACCCCGUAAUUAAUGAUUUGCUACAAAUUUGCACAUUGCACUAACAGUCAGCCGUCCUCGGUAUCAACCACUGGUAGAAAACUCGCCUUUAGUCCCGGUUGGUAGAGAGAAAAUCUCCCGAAAAUCCAUUCAGGAUAAACCAAUCAAGAUAAAAUGGGGUCUUUAAUCCCGGAUCUUUCAACUGGGAGUAAAGCUACCCUUUAGUCCCGGUUGGUAAAACUAAAUUCCCGUCGAGAUGUUGCUCGAAGCGUCUAAAUUCCGUCCAUCCUAAUAAAAUUCUCCUUGUGCAUUUACCAUCUGUCCAUCAAGAAUCCAACGAGACCUUCACAUAUUGCCGCUACUCUUUCCUUCUUCAAGAGUCCAUGUUGAAUAUUUAACAUCUAUAAUUUGGAAAUAUGAGAAUAUUAUACGAACAAUUAAAUAUAAGAAGCUAGAAAAUAAUUAACUAUUAAUAGUUUUAUUUUACGUACUUUAAAGUUGUGCGGUAUCAUCUUUAGUCCCUUAGGUCCCACAAAACUGUGCAUGUGCUCACAGAUGUAUUAGUCACAUAGAUUAUUCCCGGGUUUCUAUCUUAAGCACUUCAGUGGGGAAAAAAAUAAGUUAUGAAAUAUUCGUGUUAUAGAAUGUACAAAAUGUGCAGACUUCGUACGUACCGGGAAGUCUGUGUUCCAUGUAAGUUUUUGUUUGAAUGGACCUUUGUGUGUCCUGAUGAAUUGUCUCCAUGCGUUGCGGAUUAAAAUAAUGAAUGAUAUAGUGUUAGGUGAAAAUUUAGGAAAUAAACUUUUGCAUAGAGAUAAAGGUCUAGAAUUAUUACAAGCCUAGCAUGUCUUGCAUGUCUCGGUACUCCACCGGAUCUUUUCUCAACGAAUCGAAGACAGUGAUGUGGCUUCUUUCAGGCUCAAUUAUAAUGAGGAUCUAGUGGAAGCUGCGUACGUAAAUGUUCAUAUAUAUUAGAGCUAACUAAUAUUAAUCAGGUAAGAAAAAAUAAAAUGAAAGUAGACGGUACACACACUUACUUGAAGUUGUAUGGAAGUAGUAUGAAAUCCUUGAAUUUUUGUUUGUCUAAGAAAUUGUAUACUUCCACCAAGGUUUUGUCCAGCGCGACCUAUAUCUGUUUUUGGUUAACUACGGAUGGAUCCAUGAAGCCAAUAUAGAGGUAUGCUUCUCGUCGGCACGUCUGAAUUAGCAUCCUACAUAAAAUGGAAGACGAAGUUAGUAUGGUGACGCACGCAAAAAAAAUAAUGAUAUGAGCCAAAAUUUACUUGUAGAUAAACGGACAUUUACAGAACCCAGACGCUGAUCAGAGAGACGUCCAGGGCAUCAUGAUGGUACACUUUGUAUAUAUCCUUUAAUUCUAGCCACAUGACUUCUCGCCUUUGCCGUAAAAAUCUAUCGGUUUUACCUUAAGGCCGAACAUCUCCCUCGAGUCGGCGAAUAUCUUUAUGUACCAUUGAUGGAAUUCGUACAUAUUUGUUGAUAGCUUCCGUACCAACUCAGGCCUUACCAGAGACUUGCCUAGCUCAAAGGUCCAUCUCGGUUCAAUUGGCGGUGCAGCUGGCAGCUCAACUUGUCCUGGACAUUCAUCAACUCUCAUACAUGUUUCUUCCAUGAAUUGCAAUACUUGUGCUUGUUGAUCCAAGGGCAUUGCUGCUAUUUUUUUAGCGUCUUUUUUUGGUAGAUGCCCAAGGUCAGGGACAACACCACUGCAAGAUGACUUUCCUUUCCUUUUUUCCCUCUCAUCAGCCUUGACUAACGCUCGUUCGUAGUUUGAUAGUAGUGGUAUCCUCUUCUUAGCUCCUUCUUCCAUCCUGAUAAAAAAAUUUAAUUAUCUUCGAUUUACUGGUUGUGGUUCCAUCUCCCUUGCUUUUUCUUUCUUCAGCCUGUUUCUUUAACCCCUCCCUAGCCUCUGCUUGGAUUUCGACACACUGUUCCACAUGAGUCAUUGCCUCCCAGCGUUCCUCAUGAGUCACUUCAUGCUCCUUUCUUUUCUUUUUUCUCUAUCUUAGCUUGGGAGGCGGUGGUCGUGACUUCUUAAGUGGUGUUGCAGGUUCCUUCCUCGGGGCUGCUCUUAGUCCCGGCAACGGUGAUCGGGAAGGGGUGUUGUUAUUGUCAUCGUCACUCCCACCACCAGGAUGUGGUAGAGAUGGAGACCUUGAUCGAACAAGAAGCGACGGUCCUAGAGCAGGUUGUGCUGGAGAUGACGGUCUUGAGCUUUGAGAAGAUGGUCGCUGCUGGGGA